RNAcentral lists this ribosomal RNA (1029 nucleotides) under Enterobacter chengduensis. RNAcentral describes it as "partial 23S ribosomal RNA". It matches the Rfam family "Bacterial large subunit ribosomal RNA", at positions 144 to 1214 of the family's 2925-position model. The record is from RNAcentral. Lineage: Bacteria; Pseudomonadati; Pseudomonadota; Gammaproteobacteria; Enterobacterales; Enterobacteriaceae.
CACACUAUCGUUAACUGAAUACAUAGGUUAACGAGGCGAACCGGGGGAACUGAAACAUCUAAGUACCCCGAGGAAAAGAAAUCAACCGAGAUUCCCCCAGUAGCGGCGAGCGAACGGGGAGCAGCCCAGAGUCUGAAUCAGCUUGUGUGUUAGUGGAAGCGUCUGGAAAGUCGCACGGUACAGGGUGACAGUCCCGUACACGAAAGCACACAGGUUGUGAACUCGAAGAGUAGGGCGGGACACGUGGUAUCCUGUCUGAAUAUGGGGGGACCAUCCUCCAAGGCUAAAUACUCCUGACUGACCGAUAGUGAACCAGUACCGUGAGGGAAAGGCGAAAAGAACCCCGGCGAGGGGAGUGAAAAAGAACCUGAAACCGUGUACGUACAAGCAGUGGGAGCACCUUCGUGGUGUGACUGCGUACCUUUUGUAUAAUGGGUCAGCGACUUAUAUUCUGUAGCAAGGUUAACCGUAUAGGGGAGCCGAAGGGAAACCGAGUCUUAACUGGGCGUUAAGUUGCAGGGUAUAGACCCGAAACCCGGUGAUCUAGCCAUGGGCAGGUUGAAGGUUGGGUAACACUAACUGGAGGACCGAACCGACUAAUGUUGAAAAAUUAGCGGAUGACUUGUGGCUGGGGGUGAAAGGCCAAUCAAACCGGGAGAUAGCUGGUUCUCCCCGAAAGCUAUUUAGGUAGCGCCUCGUGAACUCAUCUUCGGGGGUAGAGCACUGUUUCGGCUAGGGGGCCAUCCCGGCUUACCAACCCGAUGCAAACUACGAAUACCGAAGAAUGUUAUCACGGGAGACACACGGCGGGUGCUAACGUCCGUCGUGAAGAGGGAAACAACCCAGACCGCCAGCUAAGGUCCCAAAGUCAUGGUUAAGUGGGAAACGAUGUGGGAAGGCACAGACAGCCAGGAUGUUGGCUUAGAAGCAGCCAUCAUUUAAAGAAAGCGUAAUAGCUCACUGGUCGAGUCGGCCUGCGCGGAAGAUGUAACGGGGCUAAACCAUGCACCGAAGCUGCGGCAGCGACGC